UUUGAUCGUUUCAGUGUGCUUGGUUAGAAAUUAGGGUUCUUGUUUGCAGAGCGAGCUUCCGUUGGUUGGAAACACGGCGCCGGAUUUUGAGGCGGAAGCAGUGUUUGAUCAGGAGUUCAUCAAGGAUAUGUGGUUAUAUCUUUCUGAAAAGGAUAAUUUUAAUGACUUCGGCAAUGAGAAUGCUCUCAUAUGGCAAGAGACAAAUAUUCCAUAUGCAGUUUGGGGACCAAGUAGUAGCUGAUCUCUUUCAUUGAAAUACAAACCAUCAGAGUAUUCCAGGCUGUUAAACACAAUGGGAACCUCUAUGCUCAUGUUUUCUUUGCUCGCUCGGGUUACCCUCCAGAUCCUAGCGAUCCUGAAUAUCAGCCAGGAGCUACAUUUGGAAGAACACAUUCUGUUGUGGCAUACCUACCCAAGUCAAAAGCAGAUAAAAGGAAGAGCUUGUCGGGCAACCAAAAAGGGGAUGAAGAUGAAGUUUCGGUGACUAGGGUGCUUCCAGGUUAGGCAGUCCUUCCAGGUUCACUGAAGUUACGAAAGUAUGCUUGAAGGCGAGGCUGAUGAACUUAAGAUGUCAUUUUCUUGAUAUAUUUAUAUCAGAGAUGGGUAUAUCCAGUAGAUAAGAAGCAUGUCAUUUUCUUGAUAAUGAGUUUGGGUUUGGGGGUGAAGAUGAAGAUCAAAGUCUCUAAGCAUCCAGCUCAGAUUCAGCUCAAAAAAGCGAGGAAAUAAAUAAAAUCAUUUUUUAGCACCACUUGAGACAUUUUUGCGUAUGUAUAUGUUUUUGAUUUCAUUGCGAGAUAUUGAGUAAUCAUUGUGUGAGAUGUAUAUAUUAAAUGUAAGCAGGUAGAUAAAUAAAAUAGCCAAAAUUACAUAAAUUAUUUUUUA
Asparagus officinalis (garden asparagus) is the source of this 882-nucleotide long non-coding RNA. RefSeq lists it as uncharacterized. Lineage: Eukaryota; Viridiplantae; Streptophyta; Magnoliopsida; Asparagales; Asparagaceae. The transcript is spliced from 5 exons. The record is from RefSeq and is a predicted model, not a curated record.